AAAUUGAAGAGUUUGAUCAUGGCUCAGAUUGAACGCUGGCGGCAGGCCUAACACAUGCAAGUCGAACGGUAACAGGAAGCAGCUUGCUGUUUCGCUGACGAGUGGCGGACGGGUGAGUAAUGUCUGGGAAACUGCCUGAUGGAGGGGGAUAACUACUGGAAACGGUAGCUAAUACCGCAUAACGUCGCAAGACCAAAGAGGGGGACCUUCGGGCCUCUUGCCAUCGGAUGUGCCCAGAUGGGAUUAGCUAGUAGGUGGGGUAACGGCUCACCUAGGCGACGAUCCCUAGCUGGUCUGAGAGGAUGACCAGCCACACUGGAACUGAGACACGGUCCAGACUCCUACGGGAGGCAGCAGUGGGGAAUAUUGCACAAUGGGCGCAAGCCUGAUGCAGCCAUGCCGCGUGUAUGAAGAAGGCCUUCGGGUUGUAAAGUACUUUCAGCGGGGAGGAAGGGAGUAAAGUUAAUACCUUUGCUCAUUGACGUUACCCGCAGAAGAAGCACCGGCUAACUCCGUGCCAGCAGCCGCGGUAAUACGGAGGGUGCAAGCGUUAAUCGGAAUUACUGGGCGUAAAGCGCACGCAGGCGGUUUGUUAAGUCAGAUGUGAAAUCCCCGGGCUCAACCUGGGAACUGCAUCUGAUACUGGCAAGCUUGAGUCUCGUAGAGGGGGGUAGAAUUCCAGGUGUAGCGGUGAAAUGCGUAGAGAUCUGGAGGAAUACCGGUGGCGAAGGCGGCCCCCUGGACGAAGACUGACGCUCAGGUGCGAAAGCGUGGGGAGCAAACAGGAUUAGAUACCCUGGUAGUCCACGCCGUAAACGAUGUCGACUUGGAGGUUGUGCCCUUGAGGCGUGGCUUCCGGAGCUAACGCGUUAAGUCGACCGCCUGGGGAGUACGGCCGCAAGGUUAAAACUCAAAUGAAUUGACGGGGGCCCGCACAAGCGGUGGAGCAUGUGGUUUAAUUCGAUGCAACGCGAAGAACCUUACCUGGUCUUGACAUCCACGGAAGUUUUCAGAGAUGAGAAUGUGCCUUCGGGAACCGUGAGACAGGUGCUGCAUGGCUGUCGUCAGCUCGUGUUGUGAAAUGUUGGGUUAAGUCCCGCAACGAGCGCAACCCUUAUCCUUUGUUGCCAGCGGUCCGGCCGGGAACUCAAAGGAGACUGCCAGUGAUAAACUGGAGGAAGGUGAGGAUGACGUCAAGUCAUCAUGGCCCUUACGACCAGGGCUACACACGUGCUACAAUGGCGCAUACAAAGAGAAGCGACCUCGCGAGAGCAAGCGGACCUCAUAAAGUGCGUCGUAGUCCGGAUUGGAGUCUGCAACUCGACUCCAUGAAGUCGGAAUCGCUAGUAAUCGUGGAUCAGAAUGCCACGGUGAAUACGUUCCCGGGCCUUGUACACACCGCCCGUCACACCAUGGGAGUGGGUUGCAAAAGAAGUAGGUAGCUUAACCUUCGGGAGGGCGCUUACCACUUUGUGAUUCAUGACUGGGGUGAAGUCGUAACAAGGUAACCGUAGGGGAACCUGCGGUUGGAUCACCUCCUUA
RNAcentral lists this ribosomal RNA (1542 nucleotides) under Escherichia coli. RNAcentral describes it as "bacterial SSU rRNA". It matches the Rfam family "Bacterial small subunit ribosomal RNA". Lineage: Bacteria; Pseudomonadati; Pseudomonadota; Gammaproteobacteria; Enterobacterales; Enterobacteriaceae. The record is from RNAcentral.